This 242-nucleotide ribosomal RNA is filed under the name uncultured Staphylococcus sp. RNAcentral's name for it is "partial 16S ribosomal RNA". It matches the Rfam family "Bacterial small subunit ribosomal RNA", at positions 96 to 334 of the family's 1533-position model. The record is from RNAcentral. Lineage: Bacteria; Bacillati; Bacillota; Bacilli; Caryophanales; Staphylococcaceae.
CGGCGGACGGGUGAGUAACACGUGGAUAACCUACCUAUAAGACUGGGAUAACUUCGGGAAACCGGAGCUAAUACCGGAUAAUAUAUUGAACCGCAUGGUUCAAUAGUGAAAGACGGUUUUGCUGUCACUUAUAGAUGGAUCCGCGCCGCAUUAGCUAGUUGGUAGGUAACGGCUUACCAAGGCACGAUGCGUAGCCGACCUGAGAGGGUGAUCGGCCACACUGGAACUGAGACACGGUCCAG